This 478-nucleotide ribosomal RNA is filed under the name uncultured bacterium. RNAcentral describes it as "partial 16S ribosomal RNA". It matches the Rfam family "Bacterial small subunit ribosomal RNA", at positions 28 to 523 of the family's 1533-position model. The record is from RNAcentral.
GACGAACGCUGGCGGCGUGCUUAACACAUGCAAGUCGAACGGUAAGGCCCUUCGGGGUACACGAGUGGCGAACGGGUGAGUAACACGUGGGUGAUCUGCCCUGCACUUCGGGAUAAGCCUGGGAAACUGGGUCUAAUACCGGAUAGGACCACUGCCUGCAUGGGUGGUGGUGGAAAGCUUUUGCGGUGUGGGAUGGGCCCGCGGCCUAUCAGCUUGUUGGUGGGGUGAUGGCCUACCAAGGCGACGACGGGUAGCCGGCCUGAGAGGGUGACCGGCCACACUGGGACUGUGAUACGGCCCAGACUCCUACGGGAGGCAGCAGUGGGGAAUAUUGCACAAUGGGCGCAAGCCUGAUGCAGCGACGCCGCGUGAGGGAUGACGGCCUUCGGGUUGUAAACCUCUUUCAGCACCGACGAAGCGCAAGUGACGGUAGGUGCAGAAGAAGGACCGGCCAACUACGUGCCAGCAGCCGCUGUAA